Molecule: ribosomal RNA, 684 nt
Filed under: Escherichia coli
Lineage: Bacteria; Pseudomonadati; Pseudomonadota; Gammaproteobacteria; Enterobacterales; Enterobacteriaceae
Also listed under: 10 other names
Description: partial 23S ribosomal RNA
Rfam family: Bacterial large subunit ribosomal RNA
Source: RNAcentral
UGGUGGGUAGUUUGACUGGGGCGGUCUCCUCCUAAAGAGUAACGGAGGAGCACGAAGGUUGGCUAAUCCUGGUCGGACAUCAGGAGGUUAGUGCAAUGGCAUAAGCCAGCUUGACUGCGAGCGUGACGGCGCGAGCAGGUGCGAAAGCAGGUCAUAGUGAUCCGGUGGUUCUGAAUGGAAGGGCCAUCGCUCAACGGAUAAAAGGUACUCCGGGGAUAACAGGCUGAUACCGCCCAAGAGUUCAUAUCGACGGCGGUGUUUGGCACCUCGAUGUCGGCUCAUCACAUCCUGGGGCUGAAGUAGGUCCCAAGGGUAUGGCUGUUCGCCAUUUAAAGUGGUACGCGAGCUGGGUUUAGAACGUCGUGAGACAGUUCGGUCCCUAUCUGCCGUGGGCGCUGGAGAACUGAGGGGGGCUGCUCCUAGUACGAGAGGACCGGAGUGGACGCAUCACUGGUGUUCGGGUUGUCAUGCCAAUGGCACUGCCCGGUAGCUAAAUGCGGAAGAGAUAAGUGCUGAAAGCAUCUAAGCACGAAACUUGCCCCGAGAUGAGUUCUCCCUGAGACUUUAAGUCUCCUGAAGGAACGUUGAAGACGACGACGUUGAUAGGCCGGGUGUGUAAGCGCAGCGAUGCGUUGAGCUAACCGGUACUAAUGAACCGUGAGGCUUAACCUUACAACGCCGAAG